CUGUAAAUCUCUGUCUCUCCCUGCUGUUUUCACUGCUUUCAGGCGAGCUUAGUCCCUAAAAUCACACAAAUAUCAUAUACAACUGUUCCAGACACGUUCUUACAUGUAACUGACACGUUUCUGUUGAAUAUUUACUUCACAGAAAACUUCGAAAAAGUCCGUAAGCAUCUCAACUGUUUUCAGGCGAGGAGUGAAAAGAAUCUCUCUACAACAGAAGAUAAGCUGCAAAAUUUCAAAGUUUCUGAAGGGAGCUGCUGUCAGAAAUGCAGGAAACACAGAUUCUUCUAUGCUGAUGGCCGUGCAGCAGACUUGGAGCAGACCUCCUGUCGGACAACAUCUCUAAGGCGCAAUGAACUAUAUGACUUGAUUCUAUGUACCCAGCCUCAACCAUUCAUCAAAAGGACUGUGAAAGCGGGAACUCUUUGACCCACCAGUGGCAGUUUCCACAGGAAGAAAAAGGGCAUACUAGUGGAUGAUGGGGGUAUAGACAUUAACAUGUAUUCACUGUAUUACACACUAAGGAUGGGCAUUUCUGUAAAUUUUUCAUUUUAAGUACUGGUGGUUUUGAUUUUGUCUGGAUGGCAUUCUGUCCUAACACUAACUAGUCAGAGCUCAGGUACCACCCAAAAUGCUGCCAUAACCAAUCAGAAAAAGAGAAAUAUAUAAAGUCAGGUGAUCAUCGAGAACUCAGACUUGACAGCGAUGAUUGAUCAUGAAAACGAUGAUUGCAGUGACUUUAAAAAAAUAAUCAAUCAUUGCUGUCAAGUCUGAGAACUCUAGUACUUGUGCACAUCCCUAUUAAACACAUAUACACAGUAUUGAGGUAUGAUGUAUACUGUAAAUGCAAUAAACAUUUUAAUCAUACAUCUUAUCAAGUCUUGUUACUUCUGGAUUUUCUUUUUUUAUUAUUAUUAUUUUAUGAACAAUCCUAUUAAAGAAAAUUUAUAGUAUGAUAAAUGUAAGGAUAUUGAUCUGGAAGAAUUGGGGCCAUAAAGAACCUAUUCAUCAGUGGUUCUUUGAAGAACCUUUAAAAAGGGUUCUUUGUAGUGCCAGAAAAUGUGCUUUAUGGCACCAAGAAAAACACCGGUUCUUUAAAGAACCUUUCACAAAAUGGUUCUUCAGGGAACUAAAAAUGGUUCCUCUAUACGGCAU
Molecule: long non-coding RNA, 1152 nt
Organism: Onychostoma macrolepis
Lineage: Eukaryota; Metazoa; Chordata; Actinopteri; Cypriniformes; Cyprinidae
Exons: 4
Source: RefSeq, a predicted model, not a curated record